AACUAGCCCCGAUUGAAGCAAGUAUCCUUUUAUAAAGCUUCCAGCCUUUUAAAGGCUGGAAGCUUUAUAAAAGAUACUGCGAAAAGCGGGAGGAUUA
RNAcentral lists this small RNA (97 nucleotides) under Flavobacterium fryxellicola. Its description in RNAcentral is "Flavo-1 RNA". It matches the Rfam family "Flavo-1 RNA". Lineage: Bacteria; Pseudomonadati; Bacteroidota; Flavobacteriia; Flavobacteriales; Flavobacteriaceae. The record is from RNAcentral.